This 468-nucleotide ribosomal RNA is filed under the name uncultured bacterium. RNAcentral's name for it is "partial 16S ribosomal RNA". It matches the Rfam family "Bacterial small subunit ribosomal RNA", at positions 28 to 507 of the family's 1533-position model. The record is from RNAcentral.
GACGAACGCUGGCGGCGUGCUUAACACAUGCAAGUCGAACGGAAAGGCCCUGCUUUUGUGGGGUGCUCGAUUGGCGAACGGGUGAGUAACACGUGAGUAACCUGCCCUUGACUUUGGGAUAACUUCAGGAAACUGGGGCUAAUACCGGAUAGGAGCUCCUGCUGCAUGGUGGGGGUUGGAAAGUUUCGGCGGUUGGGGAUGGACUCGCGGCUUAUCAGCUUGUUGGUGGGGUAGUGGCUUACCAAGGCUUUGACGGGUAGCCGGCCUGAGAGGGUGACCGGCCACAUUGGGACUGAGAUACGGCCCAGACUCCUACGGGAGGCAGCAGUGGGGAAUAUUGCACAAUGGGCGGAAGCCUGAUGCAGCAACUCCGCGUGCGGGAUGACGGCCUUCGGGUUGUAAACCGCUUUCGCCUGUGACGAAGCGUGAGUGACGGUAAUGGGUAAAGAAGCACCGGCUAACUACGUG